Molecule: transfer RNA, 67 nt
Filed under: Carrikerella sp.
Lineage: Eukaryota; Metazoa; Arthropoda; Insecta; Mantodea; Thespidae
Description: tRNA-Ile
Source: RNAcentral
AGUGAAAUGCCUGAAAAAAAGGAGUAUCAUGAUAGGAUAAAUUAUGUAAUUUACGUUACUUUUACUA